RNAcentral lists this long non-coding RNA (495 nucleotides) under Setaria viridis. Its description in RNAcentral is "long non-coding RNA (SVIR_LNC002207)". The record is from RNAcentral. Lineage: Eukaryota; Viridiplantae; Streptophyta; Magnoliopsida; Poales; Poaceae.
UAGGGUUUUCCAUAAAAAUAUAAUGAUCGUGAUAUUCCUAAGGAAUUCUAUUUCUAAAUGAUGCUUCAUCGUCAAUCUUGUCAUGACCGGGGUCAUUCAUAGGAUUUUCGGCUAGAAUCAGCUUCAAGUCAAGGCAAGGGAGGGAAUAGAGGGGUUGUCCCAAUGGUUUUCAGAAAUCAUGCAAGUCCAAUUAUUAUCUUGGUAUAUUUUAUUAUCUAAAACAAUAGGACGAAAUAUAUGAUCAAGGAGGUCGGUGCUAGGACUUGCCUUCAUCCACGUUUCCUAGGUUGACCAGGGUCUUGACAUCUCACUUCUGGAUCUUCGGCUUUUCAUCGGAGCCUGGUUAGGCUAACGUUCUACUCGUCUUCUUGACGACUCGCCCUUCGGCUUCAUACCUUCUGGAUCCUUGGCUUUCGGUCGGAUCUUAGUUGCGUCCUCAAAUCACGCAAGCAUGUCAACAAGCAAACAGUUCUAACAAUCAAUAUCUAGUUUAAG